AUGAUCAGAGCGCGGAAAGGUGGCACGGCAUCAUCAGGGCUGAGGCAGAGCACAGGACUGACUACAGGGAAGGGCUGCCAACGGCGGCCAGUGCUCACUACUGUGGACACCCUCAGCUCUCUCUUGCAGCCCCAGGCAGGCUGGAGCCGUUGCUUACCUCUCUACCUUCCAGUACCUGGACAGAGAUUUCAGUGCAACUGUGUUCGCUUUCACCUGGAAGAAACCAUGAAACAGCUGAAUAAAACAGACUUCUUGAAGAGUGACCAAAUGAAAACACGCGUUUUUCUGAUGAAGGAAAACACAGACCACAUCAUAGCAACUUUCCAUAAAACACAUACAGCACCUAAGGAAAGUCCUUUAUGUCGAGUGAAAGAAAAACCUCUGCAGAGUGCCCUAGAGCGCUACAAAAAGUUUUUUGAAUGGCUGCAUGAGAAGUGCCAGAAAACGGGCUGA
RNAcentral lists this long non-coding RNA (453 nucleotides) under Anser brachyrhynchus (Pink-footed goose). Its description in RNAcentral is "lncRNA (ENSABRG00000016257.1)". The record is from RNAcentral. Lineage: Eukaryota; Metazoa; Chordata; Aves; Anseriformes; Anatidae.